This 95-nucleotide Y RNA is filed under the name Chlorocebus sabaeus (green monkey). Its description in RNAcentral is "Y RNA (ENSCSAG00000022670.1)". It matches the Rfam family "Y RNA". Rfam says of the family: Y RNAs are components of the Ro ribonucleoprotein particle (Ro RNP), in association with Ro60 and La proteins. The record is from RNAcentral. Lineage: Eukaryota; Metazoa; Chordata; Mammalia; Primates; Cercopithecidae.
GGCUGGUCUGAUGGUAGUGGGUUAACAGAACUUAUUACUUUAGUGUCACUAAAGUUGUUGUACAACCCCCACUGCUUAAUUUGACAGAGUAUAAA